Molecule: ribosomal RNA, 2728 nt
Filed under: Staphylococcus aureus M0138
Lineage: Bacteria; Bacillati; Bacillota; Bacilli; Caryophanales; Staphylococcaceae
Description: bacterial LSU rRNA
Rfam family: Bacterial large subunit ribosomal RNA
Source: RNAcentral
UUAAGUUAUUAAGGGCGCACGGUGGAUGCCUUGGCACUAGAAGCCGAUGAAGGACGUUACUAACGACGAUAUGCUUUGGGGAGCUGUAAGUAAGCUUUGAUCCAGAGAUUUCCGAAUGGGGAAACCCAGCAUGAGUUAUGUCAUGUUAUCGAUAUGUGAAUACAUAGCAUAUCAGAAGGCACACCCGGAGAACUGAAACAUCUUAGUACCCGGAGGAAGAGAAAGAAAAUUCGAUUCCCUUAGUAGCGGCGAGCGAAACGGGAAGAGCCCAAACCAAAAAGCUUGCUUGUUGGGGUUGUAGGACACUCUAUACGGAGUUACAAAGGACGACAUUAGACGAAUCAUCUGGAAAGAUGAAUCAAAGAAGGUAAUAAUCCUGUAGUCGAAAAUGUUGUCUCUCUUGAGUGGAUCCUGAGUACGACGGAGCACGUGAAAUUCCGUCGGAAUCUGGGAGGACCAUCUCCUAAGGCUAAAUACUCUCUAGUGACCGAUAGUGAACCAGUACCGUGAGGGAAAGGUGAAAAGCACCCCGGAAGGGGAGUGAAAUAGAACCUGAAACCGUGUGCUUACAAGUAGUCAGAGCCCGUUAAUGGGUGAUGGCGUGCCUUUUGUAGAAUGAACCGGCGAGUUACGAUUUGAUGCAAGGUUAAGCAGUAAAUGUGGAGCCGUAGCGAAAGCGAGUCUGAAUAGGGCGUUUAGUAUUUGGUCGUAGACCCGAAACCAGGUGAUCUACCCUUGGUCAGGUUGAAGUUCAGGUAACACUGAAUGGAGGACCGAACCGACUUACGUUGAAAAGUGAGCGGAUGAACUGAGGGUAGCGGAGAAAUUCCAAUCGAACCUGGAGAUAGCUGGUUCUCUCCGAAAUAGCUUUAGGGCUAGCCUCAAGUGAUGAUUAUUGGAGGUAGAGCACUGUUUGGACGAGGGGCCCCUCUCGGGUUACCGAAUUCAGACAAACUCCGAAUGCCAAUUAAUUUAACUUGGGAGUCAGAACAUGGGUGAUAAGGUCCGUGUUCGAAAGGGAAACAGCCCAGACCACCAGCUAAGGUCCCAAAAUAUAUGUUAAGUGGAAAAGGAUGUGGCGUUGCCCAGACAACUAGGAUGUUGGCUUAGAAGCAGCCAUCAUUUAAAGAGUGCGUAAUAGCUCACUAGUCGAGUGACACUGCGCCGAAAAUGUACCGGGGCUAAACAUAUUACCGAAGCUGUGGAUUGUCCUUUGGACAAUGGUAGGAGAGCGUUCUAAGGGCGUUGAAGCAUGAUCGUAAGGACAUGUGGAGCGCUUAGAAGUGAGAAUGCCGGUGUGAGUAGCGAAAGACGGGUGAGAAUCCCGUCCACCGAUUGACUAAGGUUUCCAGAGGAAGGCUCGUCCGCUCUGGGUUAGUCGGGUCCUAAGCUGAGGCCGACAGGCGUAGGCGAUGGAUAACAGGUUGAUAUUCCUGUACCACCUAUAAUCGUUUUAAUCGAUGGGGGGACGCAGUAGGAUAGGCGAAGCGUGCGAUUGGAUUGCACGUCUAAGCAGUAAGGCUGAGUAUUAGGCAAAUCCGGUACUCGUUAAGGCUGAGCUGUGAUGGGGAGAAGACAUUGAGUCUUCGAGUCGUUGAUUUCACACUGCCGAGAAAAGCCUCUAGAUAGAAAAUAGGUGCCCGUACCGCAAACCGACACAGGUAGUCAAGAUGAGAAUUCUAAGGUGAGCGAGCGAACUCUCGUUAAGGAACUCGGCAAAAUGACCCCGUAACUUCGGGAGAAGGGGUGCUCUUUAGGGUUAACGCCCAGAAGAGCCGCAGUGAAUAGGCCCAAGCGACUGUUUAUCAAAAACACAGGUCUCUGCUAAACCGUAAGGUGAUGUAUAGGGGCUGACGCCUGCCCGGUGCUGGAAGGUUAAGAGGAGUGGUUAGCUUCUGCGAAGCUACGAAUCGAAGCCCCAGUAAACGGCGGCCGUAACUAUAACGGUCCUAAGGUAGCGAAAUUCCUUGUCGGGUAAGUUCCGACCCGCACGAAAGGCGUAACGAUUUGGGCACUGUCUCAACGAGAGACUCGGUGAAAUCAUAGUACCUGUGAAGAUGCAGGUUACCCGCGACAGGACGGAAAGACCCCGUGGAGCUUUACUGUAGCCUGAUAUUGAAAUUCGGCACAGCUUGUACAGGAUAGGUAGGAGCCUUUGAAACGUGAGCGCUAGCUUACGUGGAGGCGCUGGUGGGAUACUACCCUAGCUGUGUUGGCUUUCUAACCCGCACCACUUAUCGUGGUGGGAGACAGUGUCAAGCGGGCAGUUUGACUGGGGCGGUCGCCUCCUAAAAGGUAACGGAGGCGCUCAAAGGUUCCCUCAGAAUGGUUGGAAAUCAUUCAUAGAGUGUAAAGGCAUAAGGGAGCUUGACUGCGAGACCUACAAGUCGAGCAGGGUCGAAAGACGGACUUAGUGAUCCGGUGGUUCCGCAUGGAAGGGCCAUCGCUCAACGGAUAAAAGCUACCCCGGGGAUAACAGGCUUAUCUCCCCCAAGAGUUCACAUCGACGGGGAGGUUUGGCACCUCGAUGUCGGCUCAUCGCAUCCUGGGGCUGUAGUCGGUCCCAAGGGUUGGGCUGUUCGCCCAUUAAAGCGGUACGCGAGCUGGGUUCAGAACGUCGUGAGACAGUUCGGUCCCUAUCCGUCGUGGGCGUAGGAAAUUUGAGAGGAGCUGUCCUUAGUACGAGAGGACCGGGAUGGACAUACCUCUGGUGUACCAGUUGUCGUGC